RNAcentral lists this ribosomal RNA (627 nucleotides) under Wilsonomyces carpophilus. RNAcentral's name for it is "partial large subunit ribosomal RNA". It matches the Rfam family "Eukaryotic large subunit ribosomal RNA", at positions 33 to 673 of the family's 3401-position model. The record is from RNAcentral. Lineage: Eukaryota; Fungi; Ascomycota; Dothideomycetes.
UUUUUGCAUAUCAAAAAGCGGAGGAAAAGAAACCAACAGGGAUUGCCCUAGUAACGGCGAGUGAAGCGGCAACAGCUCAAAUUUGAAAUCUGGCCUCUUUUGGGGUCCGAGUUGUAAUUUGCAGAGGGCGCUUUGGAGUCGGCAGCGGUCCAAGUUCCUUGGAACAGGACGUCACAGAGGGUGAGAAUCCCGUACGUGGUCGCUAGCCUUCUCCGUGUAAAGCCCCUUCGACGAGUCGAGUUGUUUGGGAAUGCAGCUCUAAAUGGGAGGUAAAUUUCUUCUAAAGCUAAAUAUUGGCCAGAGACCGAUAGCGCACAAGUAGAGUGAUCGAAAGAUGAAAAGCACUUUGGAAAGAGAGUCAAAAAGCACGUGAAAUUGUUGAAAGGGAAGCGCUUGCAGCCAGACUUGCCUGUAGUUGCUCAUCCGGGCUUUUGCCCGGUGCACUCUUCUAUAGGCAGGCCAGCAUCAGUUUGGGCGGUUGGAUAAAGGUCUCUGUCAUGUACCUCUCUUCGGGGAGGAACUUAUAGGGGAGACGCCAUGCAACCAGCUCAGACUGAGGUCCGCGCAUUCGCUAGGAUGCUGGCGUAAUGGCUGUAAGCGGCCCGUCUUGAAACACGGACCCAAAAA